GGCCGACUAGCUCAGUUGGUUAGAGCGUCGUGCUAAUAUGGACACCGACACCGAUACGGCCCAGGGUGUGGGAUAUUAACGCGAAGGUCUUGGGUUCGAUCCCCACGUUGGCCA
Molecule: non-coding RNA, 114 nt
Organism: Marasmius oreades (fairy-ring Marasmius)
Lineage: Eukaryota; Fungi; Basidiomycota; Agaricomycetes; Agaricales; Marasmiaceae
Source: the annotation of a RefSeq genome assembly